This 57-nucleotide transfer RNA is filed under the name Bos taurus (domestic cattle). It matches the Rfam family "tRNA", at positions 8 to 63 of the family's 71-position model. Rfam says of the family: Transfer RNA (tRNA) molecules are approximately 80 nucleotides in length. Their secondary structure includes four short double-helical elements and three loops (D, anti-codon, and T loops). Further hydrogen bonds mediate the characteristic L-shaped molecular structure. tRNAs have two regions of fundamental functional importance: the anti-codon, which is responsible for specific mRNA codon recognition, and the 3' end, to which the tRNAs corresponding amino acid is attached (by aminoacyl-tRNA synthetases). tRNAs cope with the degeneracy of the genetic code in two manners: having more than one tRNA (with a specific anti-codon) for a particular amino acid; and 'wobble' base-pairing, i.e. permitting non-standard base-pairing at the 3rd anti-codon position. RNAcentral also lists the same sequence under 4 other names. The record is from Rfam by way of RNAcentral. Lineage: Eukaryota; Metazoa; Chordata; Mammalia; Artiodactyla; Bovidae.
UGGCUCAAAUGGUAAAGAACCUGCCUGCAAUGCAGGAAACCCAGGUUUGAUCCCUGG